GGGGAGGUUCCCGAGCGGUCAAAGGGGGCAGACUGUAAAUCUGUUGGCUCAGCCUUCGAAGGUUCAAAUCCUUCUCUCCCCA
Molecule: transfer RNA, 82 nt
Filed under: Spirochaetes bacterium GWC2_52_13
Lineage: Bacteria; Pseudomonadati; Spirochaetota
Also listed under: 5 other names
Description: tRNA-Tyr
Rfam family: tRNA
About the family: Transfer RNA (tRNA) molecules are approximately 80 nucleotides in length. Their secondary structure includes four short double-helical elements and three loops (D, anti-codon, and T loops).
Source: RNAcentral